AGUUUUCCCUGUACAAGCUCUCGCCUGCCGCCAUGUAAACGUUCUUUGCUCCUGCUUCGUCUUCUGCCGUGAUUGUGAGGCCUCCCCAGCCAUGUGGAACUACUCAUCACUCACUGCAGAUGUUACUUUAAGACAUUCUGGAGCAGCGUCAUGUGCAGGAACAAUAAGGAAGUGAGUGCUUUUGUAAUUCCUGAACAACUGUGUCUUACACUUACUAAGGGAUUCAUGGGCAAUAUGACUGAAUAGGAACAGCUCCAGUCUGAAGCUCCCAGUGAGACCAACAUAGAAGUUCUCUUGCCUGCCACCAUGUAAGAUAUGCUUUUACUCUUCCGCCUUCCACCGUGACUGUGAGGCCUCCCCAGCCAUGUGAAACUGCCUUUGAGCUUAUACUGAAUUAUACCACCAGCUUUCCUAGGUCUUGAAGCUUACAGACAGCAGAUCUUGGGACUUCUCAGGCACCAUAAUCAAUCAUAGAUAAAUGAUCCAAUGAUUCGGAACUUGAAAAGUGGUAGCUUUAUGAAUUCUCCUUAAGAAGAAACCUGUGCCCUGAUCUUGCCUACUCACCCAAAGGCACUGUGAGAUAGCAUCAAAGGAACAGCUAGUAAGAGACACAGAGCCAGAAAUCAGGGAAGUAAAAUACACUUGACAUCUACGUUCGGAAAGAAAUUUUAGGAGGCAGAAGCAAAUGGAUCAGAAGCUGCUUAUAUUUUUGCAAGAUUACCAAAGAAACCAUUGGUGGAGAAAGUUCUGUGACCAACUUGUCUGAGUCUAGUAAGAUUGAACGCUCACACACAAGUUUCAUGAAGUGGGUUUGAUACUUACAGAUAAGCAGCAAGGACCAACAGAAGCUGAUGAUCUAUGGUGAACUUUUUCCCAAGGCUCCGGAAAGCUGCCUAAAGUAGAUGGAGUCUUCUCUGUGUGUGCCCCACUGGUCCUGCAGUUGAAGGAUCCGGUAAAGCAGCCUGCCCUUGGUUUUAUACUCCAGAGGAACGUGAUUCGCUGGACUAAAGCAUUGAAGUGCAUCCUGUUUCCGGGGGGCACUGGAACAGAGCCUGGUCUGUUCUAGCCAGUCCCUUUCUAUCUCAGGAUAACAUUCUACAGUUAUUCUUGAGAACUAUAAUCAAAUAAGCAGGGAGAACUGGAGGCUCAUUGUGGAACCCUCAAGGAGCAUGGGGUCGUCUUCAUCCCUCAGUUUAUAAAUGGCCAAGGAGAGUAAUGCAACAAAAACUUCUCAGAGUUAAAAGCCAGAGUUCCUAAAGAACCGUGGACAAAGGGUUCUGUCUAGUGGGCAGAAUUCAUCCAGCGAAGGUGCUUACUGCACUCCCAGCAUGUGCUUGGGAACUUUAUUAAAAUUCCUUCCUAUUGAGAUUUAAAUUGCUGUCCAGAAUUAUACAAUAUAAUGAAUGGGGGCAUUCAUUAUGUGUAUUCUAUGCCUUCUCCAUCAUUGCAUAUUCAGUCCUCGUGCUAGAGAGAGGCAGAUAAUCUACCUUUUAAAUUGAUAGGUCUCCUAACUACAGAGGGUCACAUCUGGAUCUGAUGGCACCUACAGAACUUGGACUCUGAGCGACAAUCAGUGACCAGGUGUGACUUUAUAUUAUCUCUGUCAGGGAAGGGUGAGAGUUUUCAAUGUGUGAACAUAGAAUAAAAUGGUCUGGUGACCAAAAGGCUCUAUUAAAGAUAAUAUGAGAUGUUCAAAACACUGGCUAUUUUCUUGGGAACAAAAGUUGAACUUCUAAAUCUUUCUCACAGAUUGUAGACCAAAGGAAUGAAUUCUGAUUGGCAGAAUAUAAGCCUACGUAAUAUAAAAAAGACUUCCAGGUUUGGCCCUCUGAGUCUUGACUCAUUACACACCAUCUCACAGCCUUAUUUUGCCUUUCAACAGGAAAUUUGGAACCCAGGUUUUCCCAACCUACAUCUACAAAAUGGAAUGGGUCUGAUUCGCAAGUUUUCAGAGAAAGAAGCCAACCUUAAUCAGACUGUGAUAUGAUGAGGAAAUAAAACUUGCUGUGCUAAUCAA
Molecule: long non-coding RNA, 2017 nt
Organism: Homo sapiens (human)
Lineage: Eukaryota; Metazoa; Chordata; Mammalia; Primates; Hominidae
Product: long intergenic non-protein coding RNA 2241
Source: Ensembl